AAUCGGCCUCAACAUGGGCAUGCAUAUUCGGCCACAUGAGGGGAAAUUGGUGUGCAUGCAUUCGGUUAGAGGCAAGCAUAUUGAUGCCUAUUCUUGGCUUAGAAAAUUCGGCUAAGAGGAAUACUAACUAAGGUGUUGAGUUCGAUUCAUGAUUUUGUACAUAUGCGACUUUGAUGCCUAAUGAGUAGAUAUUUAUAUAUUGGCUAGGCAUCUUGAAUUCCUCUUCCGAUGCUCAAAUGAUAAAACCAAUUUAUUUGUUAAAUUUAGCUCAAGAAGCUAGAGGUGGAGAAUCAAGCAAAGGCAAAGGAAAGAUAAUCGAGUAGUCGAUUGGAAAUCGUUUCAUCCAAUAUAAGGUCACUGGGACUCGUACUGUUGUGUGCUCGGAACCGUCGUUGAAGUCAUCACACCGGCUGAAAUCUUGUGGUAUUACUUUUUUUUUUGUUGUUGAAGAACAUUUGGCAUGUAUAGGCUAUUAUAUUUUGUCGAUUUGUGGGAUUGUAAACUUUAAGCCAUGUGAAAAUGGCCUAUGUGGUCGUCGAGUGGGAUGCUAGAACCUAUAGCCACGAGUCUUAGAAACUCAAAUUUUGUUAAGGUGGCCAUAAUUUGUGUCAUGUAUGAUGGAUGAUUAAGGCCAAGGAAAAAUUCAUGAAA
Long non-coding RNA from Gossypium arboreum, 651 nucleotides. RefSeq lists it as uncharacterized. The record is from RefSeq and is a predicted model, not a curated record. The transcript has 2 exons. Lineage: Eukaryota; Viridiplantae; Streptophyta; Magnoliopsida; Malvales; Malvaceae.